UAAGACGAACCAUGCAAACGUUAUUCGGAUUCACUGGGCUUAAAGCGUGCGUAGGCGGUCUUGUUAGUCAGGUGUGAAAGCCCUCAGCUCAACUGAGGAAUUGCGCUUGAUACUGCAUGACUAGAGAAUGAUAGAGGUGGGUGGAACUGAUGGUGGAGCGGUGAAAUGCGUUGAUAUCAUCAGGAACACCAGUGGCGAAGGCGACCCACUGGGUCAUUUCUGACGCUGAGGUACGAAAGCUAGGGUAGCGAACGGGAUUAGAUACCCCGGUAGUCCUAGCCGUAAACGAUGAGCACUAGGUCGAGGGCCUCCACAGGCUCUUGGCCGUAGCGAAAGUGUUAAGUGCUCCGCCUGGGGAGUAUGGUCGCAAGGCUG
This 375-nucleotide ribosomal RNA is filed under the name uncultured bacterium. RNAcentral's name for it is "bacterial SSU rRNA". It matches the Rfam family "Bacterial small subunit ribosomal RNA", at positions 521 to 896 of the family's 1533-position model. The record is from RNAcentral.